AGCCUAUUUUCCACCUUUUUUUAAAGGAGGUGAAAUAAGUCGUUCGGGGCCAUUCCGCGCGGGGACUGGCUGCCCGCUGGCGUCGCGUGCCCUCGGGGACAGUGAGCGCCUACGCGAGUUAACUACGGGAAAUCUCAAAGUCAGGUCAGCCAGGUUCAGCCCUCCCGCUCCCGACUCUGGCCGGAGUUUGGCCUUUGAGAUUCAUAUUCCUCUCUGUGUGUGUGUGUCUCUCUCUCGCACACACAAACCCUCGCUCACCCAUUCCCUUAUGAAAUCUGACCCCUGUUUAUCAGGGUCCAGCGCGCCCUUUGCACUUCUACGUUUCACUUAAUUAUUUCGGACUUGAUCGUCGCAGGGGACAAGAGGAAAAACAAUACCCCAGCCCUCACCAGCUCCCUUCGAAGGGUUAAAUUUUAAACCGCUGUUUCUCGGACAAGCCCGGAAACUCAGAGUGGGGGUAGGUCGGUUGGGACCGCUCCCCCCCCCCCUUUACAAAUGCUAAUAACUAGUUCAGUUUUCUAGAUCGACUCUUGUAAAGCUUAUGCAAAAAAGAAAAAAAGAAAGAAAAAGAAAGGAACCAACAACUCUGUUUCUAAGAUUUUAAAGCGAUAGGCAAGUCGGAGAAGCCGAGAUUUAUUUGGGGGAAAGCAAUCGUGCGUGGAGCCGACCCAGCAUUUGGAAGACCAGUCCGUCUGCCUGGAAGUUGGGACUGUUGAUUCCUUCAAUUAAUGAAAUGCAUUUGGUGUUAAUCGUAUUUAUUCUAUUUUAUGGGAGGGGGAGACAUUAGGAGGGUGCAUUAAAAAAAAAAAAAAAAUCUGAAAAGCCUGCAAAAGGAUCGAAGAGUGAAAACUAUUGUUGGACAGAGUUGGUUUUUACCUCAACAGCGCCACCUUUCGGCAAAGCAAUUCGCAGUUGUAAGUUAAAGCCGCUCUCUCUUUGAAGACGCAUCUUUUAUAAUUUUUAUUAGAGGAUUCUUCCUUAGGUCAUAACACACAUCAUUUAAUGCAGUAUUUGUUUUGCACAAGAGAUGUGAAAGACCUAAAUGUUUUCUUGAAUGAGGAUGCACGGGAAGGUGUGUGAACGUUUCCUCCAGCUCUUCUCUCUCUCUUCAUCUGACAAUGACACGCAGCACGGCCUGGUGAACAGGAGGUGUUUAAUAAAUAGUUUUGUGUACACAUGAAUGUUGGAGCGAAAGGACUUUUGGUUUUAGGUAAUAGACACAGGUGGGCCCACAUGGUUUACUGCAGCUCUCUGAGGGUUCAAGUCCCAGACUGAACCCAGAUGCCCAGGUGUGAGCCUCUUAUCAUAAGAUCAUCAACUUUCCUGUUGUUUCCUGAUGCCAAUUUUGAAGCCAGGAGGCUCAGAGGUAUUUACUUGAACAGAAGAGUUGAGAGCUUCCGGUGUCCACCUUUGAGCUGCAACUAGCAGCCCCCACCCCCACUCCCAGUCUCUCUCGAAGGGACCUAAAUGUGCCAGCUUCUGCAGAAUCUCCUGUUUGAGGAUCCCACCUCUCCCCCUUUCAGAGAAACCUGGGAAUGAGAGCAGUUGCCAGCCCAUGAGUUAUUUAUGACCUGCCUAAGAGAGCUUGGCUCUGGCUGUUUCAGCAGACCCAGCCCCUGGAUCACCAAGGCUCAAGGAGGAAUGACAGGGACCCAUUCAGGAAGCAUCACUGACUGUUGACUCUGGGCUCAGAGAAAAGCUGCUGAUCAGGGACAAGGCUCAGGUGCUGUUGUAGUAAUGCGGUUUCUGGCAGAUUGGGAUGGGGGCACAGUGCCUGAGGUCAGCACCCAGGUCUCCUGCUAAUCCACCCUGUGACCUCAGCAGAGUUCUUCACCAAUUCCUUCCAACUCAUUUUUCAGGCUGCAAACGGACUGAAUACAGGGGAGGUAAACAGGACCAGCCACCUAUAGACACAGAUGAAAGUUAAUGUGCUAGGUUGUUGUGGAGCAUUGAUGGGUCAUAAUGACAAAAUCAAAAUAACUUUCUAAAAUGAAUUUAUUUUUUAAUUGAUACAUAAUAAUUAUACAUGUGAUAUAUCAAUACAUGUACAAAAUAUGUAAUGAUCAAAUCAGAGUGAUUGGUAUAUUGAUCACCUCAAACAAUGAUCAUUUCUUUGUGUUGGGAGUAUUCCAGAUCUUCUAUUCUAACUAUUUUGGAAUAUGCAAUAAAUUACUGUAACUGUAGUUACCCUACUCUGCUGUUGAACACUGGGACUUAAUACUUCUAGCUAAAGUCAAGAUAUCUUUGAGGUCAAAUGACAGAGCCCACAAAGCAGGGUCAGGAUGGCGGGGCCAAACCCUCCUGCAUCUCCAGUCUAGCGGCUGCUGCUGUUUUAGAUGGGUAUUGUUUAGAGCCUUUAGCUGCAGCACAGUGAGGAGUAAAGCAGGGAUUUCUGAGCAUCACCCAGCAGAGAGACAGACCCCCAAGGUGCUUUGCUUUGGCACCAGGCCAACAAGGCACAAAUCCUGCUCCAUCCCAGGUGUGAGACCUGGGUCAAGUCAGCUGACCUCUCUGGGCCUUAGUCUUUCCCUCGUCCAAAGGUGGAGAGUGUUCUUGUGCUCAUGUGAGCUGUACAGCGCAUGCUGGAUACAGGGCCUGCGCCGUGGCAUGUGAUCAAAAGGGCAUGGUCUGUUAGCAUGUGCCAGGGACUGUGCUGACAUUCUAGUCACAAUAUGGGGCCUAGAGCAUGCUAAGGACUCAGAAAAUAUUCUCCUCUCUUCUGUCUUUUUUGCUUCUGCUUUAAAGGUCCACUUAGCCCUGAACCUGGCCUCUUUCUUUUCCUCUCUCCUGAGGCUUUUCACAAUUUUGCUCACCUGGAAUGCCACCCUUGCCCCACCUGCCCUGUGCUCUGCCCUAUUUUCUGGAUAAUUUAGGCUUGUCUUCAUGUAUUGGGUUUCCUCUUAAAAGCCUUCCCUCUGUCUUCUUGCGUACUGGCCCCCCAGCCACCCAACUGUGAGCCUCUUGAAGCCAGGGAUGACACCUCUCAUCUCUCCACCUUUUUUGCGUACUACAGUGCCUGGCAUACAGCAGGUGCUCAAU
Long non-coding RNA from Cynocephalus volans (Philippine flying lemur), 3039 nucleotides. RefSeq lists it as uncharacterized. NCBI's taxonomy places the organism in Eukaryota, Metazoa, Chordata, Mammalia, Dermoptera, Cynocephalidae. The transcript is spliced from 5 exons. The record is from RefSeq and is a predicted model, not a curated record.